GACGAACGCUGGCGGCGUGCUUAACACAUGCAAGUCGAGCGGUAAGGCCCUUUCGGGGGUACACGAGCGGCGAACGGGUGAGUAACACGUGGGUGACCUGCCCUCAGCUCUGGGAUAAGCCUGGGAAACCGGGUCUAAUACCGGAUAUGACUCCAUGACGCAUGUUGUGGGGUGGAAAGCCUUGUGCGGCUGAGGAUGGGCCCGCGGCCUAUCAGCUUGUUGGCGGGGUGANGGCCUACCAAGGCGACGACGGGUAGCCGGCCUGAGAGGGCGACCGGCCACACUGGGAUUGAGACACGGCCCAGACUCCUACGGGAGGCAGCAGUGGGGAAUCUUGCGCAAUGGGCGAAAGCCUGACGCAGCGACGCCGCGUGAGGGAUGACGGCCU
RNAcentral lists this ribosomal RNA (388 nucleotides) under uncultured bacterium. RNAcentral's name for it is "bacterial SSU rRNA". It matches the Rfam family "Bacterial small subunit ribosomal RNA", at positions 28 to 417 of the family's 1533-position model. The record is from RNAcentral.